RNAcentral lists this ribosomal RNA (454 nucleotides) under uncultured Actinomyces sp. RNAcentral's name for it is "partial 16S ribosomal RNA". It matches the Rfam family "Bacterial small subunit ribosomal RNA", at positions 341 to 792 of the family's 1533-position model. Lineage: Bacteria; Bacillati; Actinomycetota; Actinomycetes; Actinomycetales; Actinomycetaceae. The record is from RNAcentral.
ACGGGAGGCAGCAGUGGGGAAUAUUGCACAAUGGGCGCAAGCCUGAUGCAGCGACGCCGCGUGAGGGAUGGAGGCCUUCGGGUUGUGAACCUCUUUCGCCAGUGAAGCAGGCCUGCUCCUUGUGGGUGGGUUGACGGUAGCUGGAUAAGAAGCGCCGGCUAACUACGUGCCAGCAGCCGCGGUAAUACGUAGGGCGCGAGCGUUGUCCGGAAUUAUUGGGCGUAAAGAGCUCGUAGGCGGCUGGUCGCGUCUGUCGUGAAAUCCUCUGGCUUAACUGGGGGCUUGCGGUGGGUACGGGCCGGCUUGAGUGCGGUAGGGGAGACUGGAACUCCUGGUGUAGCGGUGGAAUGCGCAGAUAUCAGGAAGAACACCGGUGGCGAAGGCGGGUCUCUGGGCCGUUACUGACGCUGAGGAGCGAAAGCGUGGGGAGCGAACAGGAUUAGAUACCCUGGUA